This 449-nucleotide ribosomal RNA is filed under the name uncultured bacterium. Its description in RNAcentral is "bacterial SSU rRNA". It matches the Rfam family "Bacterial small subunit ribosomal RNA", at positions 328 to 794 of the family's 1533-position model. The record is from RNAcentral.
UAGCCAGACUCCUACGGGAGGCAGCAGUGGGGAAUAUUGCACAAUGGGGGAAACCCUGAUGCAGCAACGCCGCGUGAGUGAAGAAGUAUUUCGAUAUGUAAAGCUCUAUCAGCAGGGAAGAAGAUGACGGUACCUGAUUAAGAAGCCCCGGCUAACUACGUGCCAGCAGCCGCGGUAAUACGUAGGGGGCAAGCGUUAUCCGGAUUUACUGGGUGUAAAGGGAGCGUAGACGGCAGCGCAAGUCUGAAGUGAAAUGCCGGGGCUUAACCCCGGAACUGCUUUGGGAACUGUUUUGCUGGAGUAUGGGAGGGGUAAGCGGAAUUCCUGGUGUAGCGGUGAAAUGCGUAGAUAUCAGGAGGAACACCGGUGGCGAAGGCGGCUUACUGGACCAUAACUGACGUUGAGGCUCGAAAGCGUGGGGAGCGAACAGGAUUAGAUACCCCUGUAUA